UACGAGAACUCCAAGCGUUAUCCGAAUUUAUUGGGCGUAAAGCGUAUGUAGGGGGCUUGAUGCGUCUGCCGUUAAAUCUCACCGCCCAACGGUGAGGCCGCGGUAGAUACGGUCAGGCUAGAGGAUGCGAGAGGUCUCUGGAACACACGGUGUAGGGGUGAUAUCCGUUGAUAUCGUGUGGAACACCAAAGGCGAAGGCAAGAGACUGGCGUAUUCCUGACCCUGAGAUACGAAAGCGUGGGUCGCGAAGAGG
RNAcentral lists this unclassified non-coding RNA (253 nucleotides) under uncultured Parcubacteria group bacterium. RNAcentral describes it as "contains 16S-23S intergenic spacer region". It matches the Rfam family "Bacterial small subunit ribosomal RNA", at positions 524 to 776 of the family's 1533-position model. The record is from RNAcentral.